GGUCUUAAUCAUAUUCCCUUUUUUCCCCGUUCCUAGCUGCUGCAUAAGAAGUCUUCCUAUAAUUGAGAAAUGAUAGGCAAUGUAGAGGAGAGCAUGGUUUAAACUCUAUACAAAGUUUUGUCAGAACCACCAGAAAACUGGAACUAUGAUUUAAGUUCCUUGGGGUUUAGUAGACUUCUCACACUAACCUUAGUAAAAAUGUUUAUACAGGUGUGGGUUUUUCUCUCUACUUAGCCCCCUUAUCUUGAGAAGAAUUAAGAGGAACUGUGUUACAAAGGUCCAUGGUUUGAGACCUUUUCAUUUUCUUUCUAGUCUUACCGAAUCAGGACAUCAGGAGGCUUUUUCAAAGUGCUCAGAGUGGGAAGCCUUUGGUGAAGAUGAUGAAGUAAUGACAGUACAACAUGGUAUAGAAAUAACAAGUGACCCGAUUCCAGCCAGUUGUUGUUCAGGAUGGAACAAUCAGAAACAGAAAAAAACCAACUUCUUUCUGCCUGACAGCAAAACUUGCAGAGAUACAGACUGCAGGCUGGAGAGGCUUAAACUUUGUAGCAGUUUAUUGGAAGGACAUCCAUCAGAAUACCCUGAAAGGGAAUGGGGAAGUGCAAGUGCUGAAGAUAGAAUAAUGAGGAAAAAAAUUUAAAUAUUGAGGUGAGUUCAUGCUGACUACUUAUUUUGCCUGUUCUGUUUCAGUAGCCCAUAUGCAGUAUCAUUCUACAGAAUCCAACUGUUCAGUUAAAGCAGAUCAGUUGCUCUCUUUAUCAUAUUAGUAUUUUAUCCCAUCUUCUUGUGUUUAAUGCAGCACCUCAAUUGAAAGAUCUAAUAUUUCGGACUUAGUAAAUUGAAAUAUUUACCUGUUCAGCCAGAAAAUGUGUUUUAUAUUAUCACCCAAAUGAAAAGUACCAGUU
This 905-nucleotide long non-coding RNA is filed under the name Buteo japonicus. RNAcentral's name for it is "lncRNA (ENSBJAG00000003542.1)". The record is from RNAcentral. Lineage: Eukaryota; Metazoa; Chordata; Aves; Accipitriformes; Accipitridae.